This 1502-nucleotide ribosomal RNA is filed under the name Theileria equi. Its description in RNAcentral is "bacterial SSU rRNA". It matches the Rfam family "Bacterial small subunit ribosomal RNA". The record is from RNAcentral. Lineage: Eukaryota; Apicomplexa; Aconoidasida; Piroplasmida; Theileriidae.
AAAGUUUGAUCCUGACUUAGAAUGAACGCUUUAAACGUACCUAUGACACAAAUGCUAAUUGAACUGGAAAAAGUUUUUGUUCUGGUUAGUGUACAGGUGAGUAAUAAACAAAGUUAAAAUUUUAAAUAUAAAGAAUAAAAAGUAUAUGUUGUUAUGCAAUGUGUUCUAUAAUAAUUCUUUAUUUGUGCUUUUGUGCGAGUUAAAAAUUUUAUUUAUAAUUGAAUUUUGUUGUUCGAUUAACUAUUUAAUAUUAUAAAUGAAUAUUAAGGUCAUUAUCGAUAACUGGUCUUAGAGGAUGUACAGUCACAUUAGAAUUGAAAUAAUGUCUAAACUUUUAAUUAAAGGUGAGCAAGAGGGAAUAUUCUGCAAUUAGUGAAAACUAGACAGAGUGACGUUCAGUGAAGGUAGAAACUAAAGUGUAAACUUCUGUGUAUAAUUUUAUAACAAGUGACACAAAUUAUAAGAAAAUAUCGGCCAACUCUGUGCCAGCAGCCGCGGUAAUACAGAGGAUAUUAGUGUUAUUCAUAAUUAUUGGGCGUAAAGCAUUUUUAGAUGGAAAAUUGUAUUAAACGAUAAAUUUAAAAAUAGUCUUUUUAAGCAUCCGUUUAACAUUAGUUUUCUAUGAGAGUAAUUUGAGUUUAAGGAAUUUAGUGAGUAACAGUGAAAUGUCUCAUGAGACACUAAGGAAGACCAAAAAUGAAAAUAUUAAACUAGAUUAUUUCCGACAUUUGAAAAUGAAAGCUAAAGCAGCAAAUGGGAUUAGAUACCCCAGUAGUUUUAGCCGUAAACGAUGAAUAUUAAAAAUUGGAAAUUGAUUUUAUUAAUUAAAAUUUUCAGUUUUAAAGCUAACGCGUUAAAUAUUCCGCCUGAGUAGUACGUUCGCAAGAAUGAAAUUUAAAGGAACUGACGGGAGCUUAUCCAAGUGAUGGGUCAUGUUACUUAAUUCGAUGAACCCCGAAGAAUCUUACCAACGUUUAACAAAGUUGAUUGAUUAUUUUUAUCUAAUAAUUUUAAUCAACGGAAAAGGUGAUGCAUGGUUGUCGUCAGCUAGUGCUGUGAAGUGUCAAAUUAAGUUUUGUAACUAGCGCAACCCUUAUUAUUUAUUUUUUGUAUUGUAAUAUGUUUUUCUUGUAUUGCGUAUACAGAGAAAAAGGAAGAAAAGGAUAACGUCAAAUCUUUAUGUCCCUUAUGUGUUGGGCGAAUUGCGUGACACAAUGGAAAAUACAAUGAAGAUACUAUUUUGUUUAAAUAUUUUAAGAAAAAAUUUAGUAUUAGUAAAAUUUUCCUAAGUACGAAUUAUAAACUGCAAGGUUUGUAUGUAAGUAGGAACCACUAGUAAUCGUUAGUCAGCUAUAUAACGGUGAAUAUGUAAGUAAGCUUUGUACACACCGCCCGUCGCGCCCCGAAAUUGAAUUGUUUAUAAGUUGUUUAUGGGCAACAAACAACGAAUUUAAGAUCGGGACGAAGUCGUAACAAGGUAGCCGUACUGGAAGGUGCGGCUG